CGCCCGUCGCAUCAAUCGAUUGGAUGUGCUGGUGAAGUGUUCGGAUUGGCGACCGGGGGCGGUUUCCGCCCUCGGCCGCCGAGAAGUUCAUUAAACCCUCCCACCUAGAGGAAGGAGAAGUCGUAACAAGGUUUCC
Molecule: ribosomal RNA, 136 nt
Filed under: uncultured Trebouxiophyceae
Lineage: Eukaryota; Viridiplantae; Chlorophyta; Trebouxiophyceae
Description: partial small subunit ribosomal RNA
Rfam family: Eukaryotic small subunit ribosomal RNA
Source: RNAcentral